AUUACGCUAAGUCAACUUUUAAUAAAUGACUUAGGGACCUGGAAGAAAUAGGGAGAUAACAAGAAAACUUGAAUAAAACCCUUUCCUUCCAAA
This is a long non-coding RNA of Ylistrum balloti, 93 nucleotides long. RefSeq lists it as uncharacterized. The record is from RefSeq and is a predicted model, not a curated record. NCBI's taxonomy places the organism in Eukaryota, Metazoa, Mollusca, Bivalvia, Pectinida, Pectinidae. The transcript has 2 exons.